GACGAACGCUGGCGGCGUGCUUAACACAUGCAAGUCGAACGGAAAGGCCCUGCUUUUGUGGGGUGCUCGAGUGGCGAACGGGUGAGUAACACGUGAGUAACCUGCCCUUGACUUUGGGAUAACUUCAGGAAACUGGGGCUAAUACCGGAUAGGAGCUCCUGCUGCAUGGUGGGGGUUGGAAAGUUUCGGCGGUUGGGGAUGGACUCGCGGCUUAUCAGCUUGUUGGUGGGGUAGUGGCUUACCAAGGCUUUGACGGGUAGCCGGCCUGAGAGGGUGACCGGCCACAUUGGGACGGGGAUACGGCCCAGACCCCUCCGGGGGGCAGGAGGGGGGAAUAUUGCACAAGGGGCGGAAGCCUGAGGCAGCAACGCCGGGGGGGGGAUGGCGGCCUUCGGGUUGUAAACCGCUUUCGCCUGUGACGAAGCGUGAGUGGCGGUAAUGGGUAAAGAAGCACCGGCUAACUACGU
RNAcentral lists this ribosomal RNA (467 nucleotides) under uncultured bacterium. Its description in RNAcentral is "partial 16S ribosomal RNA". It matches the Rfam family "Bacterial small subunit ribosomal RNA", at positions 28 to 506 of the family's 1533-position model. The record is from RNAcentral.